Molecule: long non-coding RNA, 2348 nt
Filed under: Taeniopygia guttata (zebra finch)
Lineage: Eukaryota; Metazoa; Chordata; Aves; Passeriformes; Estrildidae
Description: lncRNA (ENSTGUG00000028539.1)
Source: RNAcentral
GCAGUUGCCGCCAUGGCGCCGCUCCCAGUCCAUGUCCUUUACUGCGGAGCCUGAGGCUACAAACCCAAGUUUGAGCAGCUGCGGCGGGAACUGGAGCGGCGCUUCCCGGGAGCCCUGGACGUGCGCGGCCAGGGCACCCCGGAGGUGACGGGAUGGUUUGAGGUGACCGUGGGGGGACGCCUGGUCCACUCCAAAAAGAACGGCGAUGGCUUCGUGGACAGCGAGCCCAAACUGCGCCGGAUCGCGGCCGCCAUCGAGUCCCGCCUGGCCUAGGCCCCGCUAGGGCAGCGCUGUCGCGACAUGGCGCGAGAGACGGCAGAUAUCGCGAUAGAGCGGGGGGAUCGAUGGAUAUCGCGAUAGAGCGGGUGGGAUCGAUGGGAUAUCGCGAUAUAUUGGCCGAUAUCGGUAGAUAUUGGUAGACGGCAAUGGGUAUCGCGAUAUAUCGGGAGAUAUCGAUGGAUAUCACGAUAUACUGGCAGAUAUUGGUAGACGGCAAUGGGUAUCGCGAUAUAUCGGGAGAUAUUGAUGGAUAUCGUGAUUUAUCAGCAGAGGUUGAUUGAUAUCGUGAUGUACCAGGAAAUACCAGAAGAUACUGGCAGAUAUUGCGAUAUAUGGGGAGAUAUUGAUGGUUAUCGCGAUAUAUCAGGAGAUAUUGGUGGAUAUCGCGAUACGCCAGCAAAUAUCGCCGGAUAUCACGAUAUAUCGGGAGAUAUCACAAUAUAUCGGGAGAUAUCGCCGGAUAUCACGAUAUAUCGGGAGAUAUCACAAUAUAUCGGGAGAUAUCGCCGGAUAUCACGAUAUAUCAGGAGAUAUCACCGGAUAUCGCGAUAUAUGAGGAGAUAUCGCCGGAUAUCGCGAUAUAUCGGGAGCCAUCUCGGGACAUGUCGCGACAGCGCUGCCCCCCCCGGCCCCCCGCCCCCCCCGCUCCAUGACGGGAAUCGCCGAAACGCCGCCGGCACCGGCGCUGCCCCGACCCCGCGCGGGAGGGACGCGGGGCCCAGCCCCCCCAAAACCCCCAAACUUCACCCCAAAAUUCUCACAUCCCACCCAAACCCCCCCCGAUCCCCAGAGUCCCCCAAAAUUUCACCCCAGAUCCCUCAGAGCCCACCCAAAAUCCCAACAUUUCACCCCAAAUCCCUCAAAUCCCACCCUGACCCCUCAGAGCCCACCCAAAAUUCCAAAAUUUCACCCCAAAUCCCACCCAAAAUCCACUCUGACCCCCAGAGCCCGCCCGAAAUCCCAAAAUUUCGCCCCAAAAUUCACAAAUCCCACCCUGACCCCCAGAGCCCACCCAAAAAUCCCAAAAUUUCACCUCAAAUCCCACCCAAAACCCACCCUGAACCCUCAGAGCCCACCCAAACCCCUGAAAUUUCACCCAAAAUCCUGUGGAUCCAACCCAAAAUCUCUCCAUUCCACCCAAAAUCCUCAAAUUUCACCCAAAAUCUCUUUAUUUCACCCAAAACCCUCAAAUCCCACCCAAAACCCUCAAAUCCCACCCAAAGCCCCUCGGAGCCCACCCAAAAUCCCAAAAUUCCACCCCAAAACCCCUCAAACCCACCCAAAACAUUCCAAUAUUUCCUUCCGCCCCAAAUCCUUCAUGUCCCACCCCAAAAAUUUUUUUUUUCCCCUCUCCCAAAAUUCCCCUUUUACCCCCAAAUCCUUCCCCUCGCUGCCUUCGCCGCUGCCGUUUUGGGCCAAAAUCACCUUUUUUUUGGGGUUUUCCUCCUGCGGAGGGCUCCUGGCAGGGUGAAAAAUGGGGAAAAACUCUUUGAAAGCACUGCAAAUGUGUUAUUAUUUCUUUGUUUCCCCGGUUUCUGGGAUCUCUGUGGCCUUUUGGGAAUAAAACUUUGGAAUUUUGAGCCCAAUUUGGGGCUGUUUUUUGGUUUUAAGUGAUUUUAGGGGAAAUUGGAGGGAUGAGGGCUGCGCCUCCUUCCAGGCUCUUCAAAAUUCCAUUUUUUUGUUAAUCCUAAAAAUUGACAGUAUGGAAUUGUGGAAUUUUGGGAAUAAAAGGAUGGCAAAUUGAACUGGAUUUUGGGUUGUUGCAGGGGAUUUUUGGGUUGUUUCAGGGGGAUUUUGGGUUGUUUCAGGGGGAUUUUGGGUUGUUUCAGGGCCUUUUUUUUUUCAGGGGGAUUUUGGGUUGUUUCAGGGGGUUAUGGGUUGUUUCAGGGGAUUUUUUUGGGUUGUUUCAGGGGGAUUUUGGGUUGUUUCAGGGGGAUUUUGGUCAUUUCAGGACAUUUUUUGGAUCAACGCACUCUGAGCUCUUCAAAACUUAAUUCCUUUACUUAACCCUAAAAGAAACCCACAUGAAAUCGUGGAAGCGCUCAUUUUGGGAAUAAAAGACUCAAAAC